RNAcentral lists this ribosomal RNA (468 nucleotides) under uncultured bacterium. Its description in RNAcentral is "partial 16S ribosomal RNA". It matches the Rfam family "Bacterial small subunit ribosomal RNA", at positions 28 to 507 of the family's 1533-position model. The record is from RNAcentral.
GACGAACGCUGGCGGCGUGCUUAACACAUGCAAGUCGAACGGAAGGGCCCGGCUUUUGUGGGGUGCUCGAGUGGCGAAGGGGUGGGUAACACGUGAGUAACCUCCCCUUGACUUUGGGAUAACUUCAGGAAACUGGGGCUAUUACCGGAUAGGAGCUCCUGCUCCAUGGUGGGGGUUGGAAAGUUUCGGCGGUUGGGGAUGGACUCGCGGCUUAUCAGCUUGUUGGUGGGGUAGUGGCUUACCAAGGCUUUGACGGGUAGCCGGCCUGAGAGGGUGACCGGCCACAUUGGGACUGAGAUACGGCCCAGACUCCUACGGGAGGCAGCAGUGGGGAAUAUUGCACAAUGGGCGGAAGCCUGAUGCAGCAACGCCGCGUGCGGGAUGACGGCCUUCGGGUUGUAAACCGCUUUCGCCUGUGACGAAGCGUGAGUGACGGUAAUGGGUAAAGAAGCACCGGCUAACUACGUG